This 255-nucleotide ribosomal RNA is filed under the name uncultured soil bacterium. Its description in RNAcentral is "partial 16S ribosomal RNA". It matches the Rfam family "Bacterial small subunit ribosomal RNA", at positions 26 to 285 of the family's 1533-position model. The record is from RNAcentral.
AGGACGAACGCUGGCGGCGUGCUUAACACAUGCAAGUCGAGCGGUAAGGCCUUUCGGGGUACACGAGCGGCGAACGGGUGAGUAACACGUGGGUGAUCUGCCCUGCACUUCGGGAUAAGCCCGGGAAACUGGGUCUAAUACCGGAUAUGACCUCCUAUCGCAUGGUGGGUGGUGGAAAGAUUUAUCGGUGCAGGAUGGGCCCGCGGCCUAUCAGCUUGUUGGUGGGGUAAUGGCCUACCAAGGCGACGACGGGUA